Molecule: ribosomal RNA, 274 nt
Filed under: uncultured bacterium
Lineage: Bacteria
Description: partial 16S ribosomal RNA
Rfam family: Bacterial small subunit ribosomal RNA
Source: RNAcentral
UACGUAGGGGGCAAGCGUUGUCCGGAUUUAUUGGGCGUAAAAGGCUUGUAGGUGGCCACGCCAAGUCGGAUGUGAAAUCUCCCGGCUCAACUGGGAGGGGUCAUUCGAUACUGGCGGGCUCGAGGCCGGUAGGGGGAAGCGGAAUUCCCGGUGUAGUGGUGGAAUGCGUAGAUAUCGGGAGGAACACCAGUGGCGAAGGCGGCUUCCUGGACCGGUUCUGACACUGAGGAGCGAAAGCGUGGGGAGCGAUCCGGAUUAGAAACCCCUGUAGUCC